AUAUAUAUAUAUAUAUAUAUAUAUAUAUACACAGCUAUCUCGAUAUCAUUCUUUGAUAUCAUAGCAAAGAUCAGUCUGACAAAUUAUAUAUACUGAAACGUUACGUUAUCGCUGUGGUGUGAUCGGUGGCAUUAUCUUUGAAACAAGUAGCAAGAGAAUUACCCUAUAGUGUAUGUUUCAAUCAUACCAAUAAUCCAGAGACACGUUGGAGCGCUUAAUUCAUUGUCAUCGACAAGCUCUGAACACUGACUUACUUAGUUGUGAAUCCCUCUGGUGGCAAGUGUAGGAGGAUCGCCACAGAACUAUAUCAGUGACGUUGCGACUGAGAAAGGACGCGACGAACCACGUGAUAUACCUGUCGUCGGGCCGCGUCAUGCAAAGCAUGCCCGACUCCUCGAUGGCCAUAACCUGAAUUGAGCCGAUUUGACCCGAUUAAGCCCGAUUCAACGUAUUCGCAGUUGAACGAACAAGCAAACGAACGAAUGAAAGAAAACAAACGGUAGCCAUUGACUUUUUUCAUCUUUCCUCGUGCUUACGUUCAUUAUUCUUUAGUGUUCUGUGCUUAAUAAAGAAUACGCUACCGCUUUUUGCAAUAAAGAUGCGAAUACUCAGAAGUGUAUCAGAAGUGUAUUAUACUUCGAUGAUAAUAUUUAUCUAACAUGAAAAAAAAAGUAAAAAUUUAAUUAGGAAAAGGGUCAAUCUGUCUACUUGUAACAGGUGACUAGUCGAACGAAUGAACGGAGUGAUCGUGAUACGCAUGCUGUUUCUCGUUCUUUCGAUGUUCUUUUAUAACGGUGAUAAUUUGAAAUAAUUGUGCUAUAGUGUACUGUGCACAUAGUGUCAUUGAUAUGGUGUUUUUAUAGUGUCAACCGUUACGUGUAAUUGUCUGAAAGUGGUGGCGUGGGAGUCCGACAUUUUAACCGCUCAUAUUCACGAAAAGAUACAAGUGUCCACGUGUGAAAUAUG
This is a long non-coding RNA of Apis florea (little honeybee), 966 nucleotides long. Lineage: Eukaryota; Metazoa; Arthropoda; Insecta; Hymenoptera; Apidae. The record is from RefSeq and is a predicted model, not a curated record.